Molecule: non-coding RNA, 146 nt
Organism: Pelobates cultripes (western spadefoot toad)
Lineage: Eukaryota; Metazoa; Chordata; Amphibia; Anura; Pelobatidae
Source: the annotation of a GenBank genome assembly
CCAGGCUUCCCCAAACUCCGGCCCUCCAGAUGUUGCUGAACUACAACUCCCAUGAUUCUAUGAAUGAAAUAGAUAGGCUGAGAAUCAUGGGAGUUGUAGUCCAGCAACAUCUGGAGGGUUGGAGUUUGGGGAAGCCUGUUUUAGAC